RNAcentral lists this long non-coding RNA (908 nucleotides) under Ananas comosus (pineapple). RNAcentral describes it as "long non-coding RNA (ACOM_LNC038175)". The record is from RNAcentral. Lineage: Eukaryota; Viridiplantae; Streptophyta; Magnoliopsida; Poales; Bromeliaceae.
GUUGAUCCAGGUUGCGGCGCUUAAGGCGGAGCACGCACAAGUGGCGGACGCGCUGCAGAAUAUGCUGACAAUUGGUGCGAGGUGACGGGCUGCUCUUGGAUGUCAACAGUAAGCUUUCGACCGUCGGCACGUUCGUUGACACCUGCCAGGACUUGUUCGACGAUUUCCUGGACGUCGACGGAUCGCUCUUCGCAAAUGUACAGACCAAUCCCAGCGGAGCUCCGGCAUCAACAAAUCCCGCCAGCUGCUCGGCGAACCUGAGAAAGAGAGCGGUGCUCUCUUCUCAAAUGAAGUUAGAUCCGCCCACCAACCGCUCGACAGCGAACCUGAGAGAGAGAGCGGUGCUCUCCUCUCAAACGGGUUCCGCCCGCCAAGUGCUCGAUGUACCCGGAGUCCGCCCACCAACCGCUCGACGACGAACCUGAGGAAGAGAGCGGUGCUCUCUUCUCAAAUGAAGUUAGAUCCGCUCACCAAGUGCUCGACGGCGAAAUUGAGAGAGAGAGCGAUGCUCUCCUCCCAAAUAAAGUCAAGUCCACCAACUGUUCGGCAAAAUAUCAUAAAGAGAGAGAGCGAUGCUCUCCUCUAAAAAGAGAAAGAGACAAAGAGAGAGAGCUUUGUUAAUGUUAGGGAGGCAAGGAAGGGAUUUUUAUCCCGCCUUAGUUGUCCCAUGGAUGUAAAAGAGAUAAAAGAGAUAAAGAAAAAAUGUGAGGAGACAAAAGAAAAUUAGUCGGAUUACCGAUUAAUAUUCUUUUGAUCGUCCUUUUAUUGGAAGAACAAUGCAAUGUUCGAAAAUAAUUGAACAAUGAUUCUAUCCAAGUUGAAUCUUUCUAUUUGGUCAAAUUGAGAUUUAAUUACAUUUGACAAAUAAAAAAAUGCAUUCGAAAUUUUCUAUGUGAUGAAUUUGAUUC